GGAGGGGGUGGGGCUCUGGCUGUAGGGAAACAUAAGGGUCCCAGCCUCUCCUGGCUUCCCAAUGGCCAGCCCCACCCUCCCUCAGUCUCAGAUCUGGGCCAGCAGUUGGGUCUCCUGCUACCCACUCUAAGCAAAAGGUUUUGCUCGAAGCCUGAGUUCCCAGCUCGAGGGGACUGGAAUGACAGUGGAAACCAAGGCCAGAGAAAGCCCAGGUUCCUGCUCCCACUCCUCACUGUGGUAUGAUCUUGGCAGCCUCUGCCCAGAUGAGGGCAAUGAGGUCUUGGUUGAUGAGGAAGACAAAUCGCAGGCUGGCAAUCUCCACCACAGAAUUGUUGCUGAGGCGCCAUUUGGAGCCACACAGCACAGGCCGUCCAUCAAUGUAGAUGGGCCGUCGGCCCUCACUGGCAAUAAAGAAAUCACCAUUGUUCUUCAGUUUGAUGACACCUUGCUUCCAGGAGAUCUUCCAGGCUGGACCCUCCAGAGACAGGUCCACAUCAAUCUGAUUAUCCUUGGUUGCUCUGCCAAGGGUGAUCUCACAUGAGCGCAUCAGGUACUGCACCAUGUGGCCCCGCAGCACUGCCAGGGUCUGGUUGUCGAAGUCCGGAGAGCUCAUGCCUGUGCUGCUGUCCACUAGCACCUGCCACUUAUGCAGUUCCUGCUCCAGCUGUCAGAUCUCUCGCUUCUGGCGCUGGUCAGCCACAGUCAGCUCAUGCUCCAGCACCUCAUCCUGCAUGUCCUUGAGCUUACUGUCAUCAAUCAGGUCCUCUGCGUCGGAAAAAUUCAGCACUUGGUCCCCCUUGGGCAGUGGCUGCACUGUCUGGUCUUCCAGCAGAUAAUAUUGCUUCAUGAGCUGCCAAUGGGCCUGCAGAGACUUGGCAGUGUGGGCCAAAUAGAAGGCAUCAGGGUGUCUAUGCAGCAAGUCCUGGAAGGUCUCCAAGGUGGGCUGGCUGGUCGAUCCUACUUUGCUCAGCAGCUGUUCCUCAGCCUUGCUGAACAGGGCUUUGCUCUGGAUGGCUGCAAUGGCUUCUGGGUGUAGCUGCCUCAUUGCCUGGCAGGCCAGCUUGGAGAUAACAGGAUCAUACAGCAGAGCGUACCAGCGCUCCUGGACUUCUCGGAGGGUAAAGCGGCAGCUGAACUUCACACCCAGGUGGACUGAAGUCAGGUUGUUGGUCUGCAGCACUGCAUUGAUGAGCAGGAG
This is a long non-coding RNA of Heterocephalus glaber (naked mole-rat), 1198 nucleotides long. Lineage: Eukaryota; Metazoa; Chordata; Mammalia; Rodentia; Bathyergidae. The record is from Ensembl.